This 492-nucleotide ribosomal RNA is filed under the name uncultured bacterium. RNAcentral's name for it is "partial 16S ribosomal RNA". It matches the Rfam family "Bacterial small subunit ribosomal RNA", at positions 29 to 507 of the family's 1533-position model. The record is from RNAcentral.
AGUGAACGCUGGCGGUAGGCCUAACACAUGCAAGUCGAACGGCGGCACAGUAAGAGCUUGCUCUUACGGGUGGCGAGUGGCGGACGGGUGAGGAAUACAUCGGAAUCUACUUUUUCGUGGGGGAUAACGUAGGGAAACUUACGCUAAUACCGCAUACGACCUACGGGUGAAAGCAGUGGAUCUUCGGACCUUGCGCGAUUGAAUGAGCCGAUGUCGGAUUAGCUAGUUGGCGGGGUAAAGGCCCACCAAGGCGACGAUCCGUAGCUGGUCUGAGAGGAUGAUCAGCCACACUGGAACUGAGACACGGUCCAGACUCCUACGGGAGGCAGCAGUGGGGAAUAUUGGACAAUGGGCGCAAGCCUGAUCCAGCCAUACCGCGUGGGUGAAGAAGGCCUUCGGGUUGUAAAGCCCUUUUGUUGGGAAAGAAAAGCAGCAGGUUAAUACCCCGCUGUUCUGACGGUACCCAAAGAAUAAGCACCGGCUAACUUCGUG